CUUGGCAACUGGCAUUCCAAUCUCUGGAGGAGUCACCAUUGACUGCUGUGUUCUUUCCUCAGCCUGUGUCAAAUGUAAGUCUCUGACCUGCCGCAGGCUGCAAAGUUCCACUAGGAGCUGGCUCAUUCCUGAUAAAUUGAUAUCCAGAGCAUUACCGCCUCACCUACCAUGGAGCAUGACCAGGGCUGGCACACCCAUGAGGCAAGGUGAGUCAACCACCUCAGGUGCCAGGAUCCACAGGGGGCAGCAUAUUCGGCAUCCAAGAAAUAUAUUACCUGCCACUGCUGCCGGGACCAAUUAUGUAGGUGACCAGCUGAGGAACCAGGUUUGAGAGGGUUACGUUUAUGCCACAAACCCCAGAAGGAAAUGUAGGAGAACGGUGGGAGGACAGUGACAAGAAACCUCAUGACCUCAUCCUUUCCGCCUCGUGGGGAUUGGUCGGCUCGUGUCUGGGAGAAGAGUUUAAAUUCCAGAGGUCUGCAGACGGAAAAGCAGCACAACAGGAGAAGGACGAUCACGCACCAUCUGAGUGAAUGAUCAGAGGAUUGCCUUGAGCUUCUCUCUACAAACCAGCAGACCUCUGCCUCAG
This is a long non-coding RNA of Podarcis raffonei (Aeolian wall lizard), 589 nucleotides long. RefSeq lists it as uncharacterized. The transcript is spliced from 3 exons. NCBI's taxonomy places the organism in Eukaryota, Metazoa, Chordata, Lepidosauria, Squamata, Lacertidae. The record is from RefSeq and is a predicted model, not a curated record.